GACGAACGCUGGCGGCGUGCUUAACACAUGCAAGUCGAACGGAAAGGCUCCAGCUUGCUGGAGUACUCGAGUGGCGAACGGGUGAGUAACACGUGGGUAAUCUGCCCUGCACUCUAGGAUAAGCCUGGGAAACUGGGUCUAAUACUGGAUAUGACCUUUCUCCUUAUGGGGUUUGGUGGAAAGUUUUUCGGUGUAGGAUGAGCCCGCGGCCUAUCAGCUUGUUGGUGGGGUGAUGGCCUACCAAGGCGACGACGGGUAGCCGGCCUGAGAGGGUGAUCGGCCACAUUGGGACUGAGAUACGGCCCAGACUCCUACGGGAGGCAGCAGUGGGGAAUAUUGCACAAUGGGCGGAAGCCUGAUGCAGCGACGCCGCGUGAGGGAUGACGGCCUUCGGGUCGUAAACCUCUUUCAGCAGGGACGAAGCGUAAGUGACGGUACCUGCAGAAGAAGCACCGGCUAACUAUGUG
This 467-nucleotide ribosomal RNA is filed under the name uncultured bacterium. RNAcentral's name for it is "partial 16S ribosomal RNA". It matches the Rfam family "Bacterial small subunit ribosomal RNA", at positions 28 to 507 of the family's 1533-position model. The record is from RNAcentral.